AUUGAACGCUGGCGGCAGGCCUAACACAUGCAAGUCGAACGGUAACAGAAAGCGGCUUGCUGCUUUGCUGACGAGUGGCGGACGGGUGAGUAAUGUCUGGGAAACUGCCUGAUGGAGGGGGAUAACUACUGGAAACGGUAGCUAAUACCGCAUAACGUCGCAAGACCAAAGAGGGGGACCUUCGGGCCUCUUGCCAUCGGAUGUGCCCAGAUGGGAUUAGCUAGUAGGUGGGGUAACGGCUCACCUAGGCGACGAUCCCUAGCUGGUCUGAGAGGAUGACCAGCCACACUGGAACUGAGACACGGUCCAGACUCCUACGGGAGGCAGCAGUGGGGAAUAUUGCACAAUGGGCGCAAGCCUGAUGCAGCCAUGCCGCGUGUAUGAAGAAGGCCUUCGGGUUGUAAAGUACUUUCAGCGGGGAGGAAGGGAGUAAAGUUAAUACCUUUGCUCAUUGACGUUACCCGCAGAAGAAGCACCGGCUAACUCCGUG
RNAcentral lists this ribosomal RNA (490 nucleotides) under uncultured bacterium. RNAcentral's name for it is "partial 16S ribosomal RNA". It matches the Rfam family "Bacterial small subunit ribosomal RNA", at positions 30 to 507 of the family's 1533-position model. The record is from RNAcentral.